Non-coding RNA from Manis javanica (Malayan pangolin), 1054 nucleotides. NCBI's taxonomy places the organism in Eukaryota, Metazoa, Chordata, Mammalia, Pholidota, Manidae. The record is from RefSeq and is a predicted model, not a curated record.
AGCACUUUAGCUGGAGUGCCUCUGCAUGUCCCCUCUUCUGUACUGGCCUGUGUCAUGGCCUGUGACUCUGUGGUUAUGUUGCAGCAGUGAUUUCCUAUCUGUUAAUCUGACUGCCUUUAUCCCUCUCACUGCUGAUGCUCAAACAGUGGUGUUUAGACUGUAAGGAGAACAAGACACAGACUGAAGUAUUGCUCUGAGCAAGGAAGACAACAUUGUCCCAGAGACAAGAGCCAGCCAGCAGAGCUGCACAUAGAAGCCUUAUCUGCCCAGCCGCCUGGUUCUGGCCCAGGAGGUUUAUCUUAAGAUAUUAAAAACAGCCCUUUGGAAUUUGUUUCCAUCCCUCUCCACUGCCUUCUGAGCUCUUGCUACUCAAAGUGUGGUCUGGGCCCCAGGAAUGGACAUCCUGGAUCACGUUAGAGAUGCAGAAUCUAAGGCUUCCUUUCAUGAUUGCCAAGGGCAGCCAAUGCGAGAAGGAAAGAAAUACGUUUACAGUGUUGAAAAAGUAAAUGUUUCAGUGGGAUAUGCAGUCCAAACUUGUCCAGCUGACGACGAGGCCAGUUAUGGCAUGUAUUUCCCUCUGUGCCAGCCCUGCUGUGACACGUGUGGUGGCGGGAGCACCCUCCCCCAUCCCCGUGCCCUUCCCCGCCUGCCCCUCCCCACCUUCACACAUCACAAUAACACUCCUCAGGUUCAAAGGUGGAGGAGGGUCCCUGCCUAGUAUUGCCAAGAGCACUACCCCCAGCCCAGACUCUGGGGUCACCCAAUUCCUAUUGUUCUCACACAGCGUCUCUAGUGCCAGGAGCUGAAUCCAAGUCCUUUCACUAUCCUGGAAUGAGGCCAGCAUUGUGUCCUUUCCCUUUUUAAUUCAACCUUCCAGAGUUCAUGGAAAAUCACCCUGGAGGAAAGGAGGGAAGGGGGCUCACGGGCUGGGAAACCAUGUUAGGCCACACUCUUAACGAUGGUGUUUGGUGGUUUCCCACUCUGCAUCUUUCUCUCCUUUCAAAUGCACUUCUGCUAAGAAAAUCAGAGGCCAUGGGUACAAGGAAUAAAUGAA